UUGGAGGGCAAGUCUGGUGCCAGCAGCCGCGGUAAUUCCAGCUCCAAUAGCGUAUAUUAAAGUUGUUGCAGUUAAAAAGCUCGUAGUUGAAUUUCGGGGUUAGUAGGUUGGUCAUGCCUCUGGUAUGUACUGGUCUCACUGAUUCCUCCUUCCUGAUGAACCUUAAUGCCAUUUAUUUGGUGUUUUGGGGAAUUUGGACUGUUACUCUGAAAAAAUUAGAGUGUUUAAAGCAAGCUAACGCUUGAAUACAUUAGCAUGGAAUAAUGAAAUAGGACGUUCGAUCCUAUUUUGUUGGUUUCUAGGACUGACGUAAUGAUUAAUAGGGAUAGUUGGGGGCAUUAGUAUUCAAUUGUCAGAGGUGAAAUUCUUGGAUUUAUUGAAGACUAACUACUGCGAAAGCAUUUGCCAAGGAUGUUUUCAUUAAUCAAGAACGAAAGUUAGGGGAUCGAAGACGAUCAGAUACCGUCGUAGUCUUAACCAUAAACUAUGCCGACUAGGGAUCGGAUGAUGUUAAUUUUUUAAUGACCCAUUCGGCGCCUUACGGGAAACCAAAGUGUUUGGGUU
RNAcentral lists this ribosomal RNA (564 nucleotides) under Glomeromycotina sp. Its description in RNAcentral is "SSU rRNA". It matches the Rfam family "Eukaryotic small subunit ribosomal RNA", at positions 548 to 1113 of the family's 1831-position model. Lineage: Eukaryota; Fungi; Glomeromycota. The record is from RNAcentral.